RNAcentral lists this ribosomal RNA (432 nucleotides) under uncultured bacterium. Its description in RNAcentral is "bacterial SSU rRNA". It matches the Rfam family "Bacterial small subunit ribosomal RNA", at positions 32 to 507 of the family's 1533-position model. The record is from RNAcentral.
GAACGACGCUGGCGGCAUGCCUAACACAUGCAAGUCGAACGAACCUUCGGGGUUAGUGGCGCACGGGUGCGUAACGCGUGGGAAUCUGCCCAAAGGUUCGGAAUAACACAGAGAAAUUUGUGCUAAUACCGGAUAAUGUCUUCGGACCAAAGAUUUAUUGCCUUUGGAUGAGCCCGCGUUGGAUUAGCUUGUUGGUGAGGUAACGGCUCACCAAGGCGACGAUCUAUAGCUGGUCUGAGAGGAUGAUCAGCCACACUGGGACUGAGACACGGCCCAGACUCCUACGGGAGGCAGCAGUGGGGAAUAUUGGACAAUGGGCGAAAGCCUGAUCCAGCAAUGCCGCGUGAGUGAUGAAGGCCUUAGGGUUGUAAAGCUCUUUUACCAGGGAUGAUAAUGACAGUACCUGGAGAAUAAGCUCCGGCUAACUCCGUG